AUUGAACGCUGGCGGCAGGCCUAACACAUGCAAGUCGAGCGAACCUAGCUUGCUAGGAGAGCGGCGAACGGGUGAGUAACGCGUAGGAAUCUGCCUGGUAGUGGGGGACAACGUUCCGAAAGGAACGCUAAUACCGCAUACGCCCUACGGGGGAAAGCAGGGGAUCUUCGGACCUUGCGCUAUCAGAUGAGCCUGCGUCGGAUUAGCUAGUUGGUAGGGUAAAGGCCUACCAAGGCGACGAUCCGUAACUGGUCUGAGAGGAUGAUCAGUCACACCGGAACUGAGACACGGUCCUGACUCCUACGGGAGGCAGCAGUGGGGAAUAUUGGACAAUGGGGGCAACCCUGAUCCAGCCAUGCCGCGUGUGUGAAGAAGGCCUUCGGGUUGUAAAGCACUUUAGGUCGGGAGGAAGGUUCGCUGGCUAAUAUCCAGCGGAAUUGACGUUACCGACAGAAUAAGCACCGGCUAACUCCGUGCCAGCCGCCGCCGUAA
Molecule: ribosomal RNA, 492 nt
Filed under: uncultured bacterium
Lineage: Bacteria
Description: partial 16S ribosomal RNA
Rfam family: Bacterial small subunit ribosomal RNA
Source: RNAcentral